UCCCUGGUGGCUCAGAUGGUAAGCGUCUGCCUGCAGUGCAGGAGACCUGGGUUUGAUCCCCAGGUCGGGAA
This 71-nucleotide transfer RNA is filed under the name Ovis aries (sheep). It matches the Rfam family "tRNA". From Rfam's summary of the family: Transfer RNA (tRNA) molecules are approximately 80 nucleotides in length. Their secondary structure includes four short double-helical elements and three loops (D, anti-codon, and T loops). Lineage: Eukaryota; Metazoa; Chordata; Mammalia; Artiodactyla; Bovidae. The record is from Rfam by way of RNAcentral.